This 446-nucleotide ribosomal RNA is filed under the name uncultured bacterium. RNAcentral's name for it is "partial 16S ribosomal RNA". It matches the Rfam family "Bacterial small subunit ribosomal RNA", at positions 330 to 792 of the family's 1533-position model. The record is from RNAcentral.
CCCAGACUCCUACGGGAGGCAGCAGUGGGGAAUAUUGCACAAUGGGGGAAACCCUGAUGCAGCAACGCCGCGUGAGUGAGGAAGUAUUUCGGUAUGUAAAGCUCUCUCAGCAGGGAAUAGAAAAGAAGGUACCUGAAAAAGAGGCCCCGGCUAACUACGUGCCAGCAGCCGCGGUAAUACGUAGGGGGCAAGCGUUAUCCGGAUUUACUGGGUGUAAAGGGAGCGUAGACGGCGGCGCAAGUCCGGAGUGAAAGCCCACGGCCCAACCGUGGGACUGCUCUGGAAACUGUGCGGCUUGAGUGCGGGAGGGGCAGGCGGAAUUCCUAGUGUAGCGGUGAAAUGCGUAGAUAUUAGGAGGAACACCAGUGGCGAAGGCGACUUUCUGGACUGUAACUGACGUUGAGGCACGAAAGUGUGGGGAGCAAACAGGAUUAGAUACCCGAGUA